CCAGAACCCAAGCCUCCUCAGCCAAGAGCCACCAACUUUAAGCCUCAGCGCCCCUCCUCAUCUAUGAAGAAAAAGAAGAGAGGUCACCCCUGCCUCCAUCAGGAAAGAAUGAAACACUCGUUGAGCCUUCACACACUGACAAGAUCCUGAGCUCUCUACGAGACUCCCGUUGCAAGUUUAUCCAAGCAGUACUAACAGCAAGUUACCCAAAAACAUCAGGAAGAGCUUGGAGUGUCAACACACAACUGCAAUUCCAGGAC
Long non-coding RNA from Nannospalax galili (Upper Galilee mountains blind mole rat), 260 nucleotides. RefSeq lists it as uncharacterized. Lineage: Eukaryota; Metazoa; Chordata; Mammalia; Rodentia; Spalacidae. The transcript has 3 exons. The record is from RefSeq and is a predicted model, not a curated record.